RNAcentral lists this ribosomal RNA (292 nucleotides) under uncultured bacterium. RNAcentral's name for it is "partial 16S ribosomal RNA". It matches the Rfam family "Bacterial small subunit ribosomal RNA", at positions 505 to 796 of the family's 1533-position model. The record is from RNAcentral.
GUGCCAGCAGCCGCGGUAAUACGUAGGUGGCAAGCGUUGUCCGGAUUUAUUGGGUUUAAAGGGUGCGUAGGCGGCCCUGUAAGUCAGCGGUGAAAUACGGCAGCUCAACUGUCGAGGUGCCGUUGAUACUGCGGGGCUUGAGUGCUGAUGAGGCAGGCGGAAUUGACGGUGUAGCGGUGAAAUGCUUAGAUAUCGUCAAGAACACCGAUAGCGAAGGCAGCCUGCCAAGGAGCAACUGACGCUGAGGCACGAAAGUGCGGGGAUCAAACAGGAUUAGAUACCCUGGUAGUCC